GUGGGGAAUCUUGCGCAAUGGGCGAAAGCCUGACGCAGCCAUGCCGCGUGGAUGAUGAAGGUCUUAGGAUUGUAAAAUCCUUUCACCGGUGAAGAUAAUGACUGUAGCCGGAGAAGAAGCCCCGGCUAACUUCGUGCCAGCAGCCGCGGUAAUACGAAGGGGGCUAGCGUUGCUCGGAUUUACUGGGCGUAAAGGGCGCGUAGGCGGACAUUUAAGUCAGGGGUGAAAUCCCGGGGCUCAACCUCGGAACUGCCUUUGAUACUGGGUGUCUUGAGUAUGAGAGAGGUGUGUGGAACUCCGAGUGUAGAGGUGAAAUUCGUAGAUAUUCGGAAGAACACCAGUGGCGAAGGCGACUCACUGGCCCAAUACUGACGCUGAGGCGCGAAAGCGUGGGGAGCAAACAGGAUUAGAAACCCUUGUAGUCC
Molecule: ribosomal RNA, 425 nt
Filed under: uncultured bacterium
Lineage: Bacteria
Description: partial 16S ribosomal RNA
Rfam family: Bacterial small subunit ribosomal RNA
Source: RNAcentral